Molecule: ribosomal RNA, 468 nt
Filed under: uncultured bacterium
Lineage: Bacteria
Description: bacterial SSU rRNA
Rfam family: Bacterial small subunit ribosomal RNA
Source: RNAcentral
GCAAAACGCGAAGAACCUUACCAAGGCUUGACAUAUACGAGAACGGGCCAGAAAUGGUCAACUCUUUGGACACUCGUAAACAGGUGGUGCAUGGUUGUCGUCAGCUCGUGUCGUGAGAUGUUGGGUUAAGUCCCGCAACGAGCGCAACCCUCGUUCUAUGUUGCCAGCACGUAAUGGUGGGAACUCAUGGGAUACUGCCGGGGUCAACUCGGAGGAAGGUGGGGAUGACGUCAAAUCAUCAUGCCCCUUAUGUCUUGGGCUUCACGCAUGCUACAAUGGCCGGUACAAAGGGCUGCAAUACCGUAAGGUGGAGCGAAUCCCAAAAAGCCGGUCCCAGUUCGGAUUGAGGUCUGCAACUCGACCUCAUGAAGUCGGAGUCGCUAGUAAUCGCAGAUCAGCAACGCUGCGGUGAAUACGUUCCCGGGUCUUGUACACACCGGGUCUUGUACACACCGGGUCUUGUACACA